This 478-nucleotide ribosomal RNA is filed under the name uncultured Pelotomaculum sp. Its description in RNAcentral is "bacterial SSU rRNA". It matches the Rfam family "Bacterial small subunit ribosomal RNA", at positions 907 to 1382 of the family's 1533-position model. The record is from RNAcentral. Lineage: Bacteria; Bacillati; Bacillota; Clostridia; Eubacteriales; Desulfotomaculaceae.
UGAAUUGACGGGGCCCGCACAAGCGGUGGAGCAUGUGGUUUAAUUCGACGCAACGCGAAGAACCUUACCAGGGCUUGACAUCCCCUGACCGCGUAUGAAAGUACGUUUUCACCUCGGGUGACAGGGAGACAGGUGGUGCAUGGUUGUCGUCAGCUCGUGUCGUGAGAUGUUGGGUUAAGUCCCGCAACGAGCGCAACCCCUACGUUUAGUUGCUAACGCGUGAAGGCGAGCACUCUAGACGAACUGCCGUUGACAAAACGGAGGAAGGUGGGGAUGACGUCAAAUCAUCAUGCCCCUUAUGUUCUGGGCUACACACGUGCUACAAUGGCCGGUACAGACGGACGCAAAGCCGCGAGGUGGAGCAAAUCCUAAAAAGCUGGCCUCAGUUCAGAUUGCAGUCUGAAACUCGACUGCAUGAAGUCGGAGUUGCUAGUAAACGCAGGUCAGCUAUACUGCGUUGAAUACGUUCCCGGGGCUU